This 82-nucleotide transfer RNA is filed under the name Candidatus Fibrimonadaceae bacterium. RNAcentral's name for it is "tRNA-Leu". It matches the Rfam family "tRNA". Rfam says of the family: Transfer RNA (tRNA) molecules are approximately 80 nucleotides in length. Their secondary structure includes four short double-helical elements and three loops (D, anti-codon, and T loops). Lineage: Bacteria; Pseudomonadati; Fibrobacterota; Fibrobacteria; Candidatus Fibrimonadales; Candidatus Fibrimonadaceae. The record is from RNAcentral.
GCGAAAGUGGCGGAAUUGGCAUACGCACUAGGCUUAGAACCUAGCACCGCAAGGUAUGGGGGUUCAACUCCCCCCUUUCGCA